CAUUACCGAGUUUACAACUCCCAAACCCCUGUGAACAUACCUUUAUGUUGCCUCGGCGGAUCAGCCCGCGCCCCGUAAAACGGGACGGCCCGCCGCAGGAAACCCUAAACUCUGUUUUUAGUGGAACUUCUGAGUAUAAAAAACAAAUAAAUCAAAACUUUCAACAACGGAUCUCUUGGUUCUGGCAUCGAUGAAGAACGCAGCAAAAUGCGAUAAGUAAUGUGAAUUGCAGAAUUCAGUGAAUCAUCGAAUCUUUGAACGCACAUUGCGCCCGCCAGUAUUCUGGCGGGCAUGCCUGUUCGAGCGUCAUUUCAACCCUCAAGCCCAGCUUGGUGUUGGGAUCUGUGUGCAAACACAGUCCCCAAAUUGAUUGGCGGUCACGUCGAGCUUCCAUAGCGUAGUAAUUUACACAUCGUUACUGGUAAUCGUCGCGGCCACGCCGUUAAACCCCAACUUCUGAAUGUUGACCUCGGAUCAGGUAGGAAUACCCGCUGAACUUAAGCAUAUCAAUAAGCGGAGGAAAAGAAACCAACAGGGAUUGCCCUAGUAACGGCGAGUGAAGCGGCAACAGCUCAAAUUUGAAAUCUGGCUCUCGGGCCCGAGUUGUAAUUUGUAGAGGAUGACUUUGAUGCGGUGCCUUCCGAGUUCCCUGGAACGGGACGCCAUAGAGGGUGAGAGCCCCGUCUGGUUGGAUGCCAAAUCUCUGUAAGUCUCCUUCGACGAGUCGAGUAGUUUGGGAAUGCUGCUCUAAAUGGGAGGUAUAUGUCUUCUAAAGCUAAAUACCGGCCAGAGACCGAUAGCGCACAAGUAGAGUGAUCGAAAGAUGAAAAGCACUUUGAAAAGAGAGUUAAAAAGUACGUGAAAUUGUUGAAAGGGAAGCGUUUAUGACCAGACUUGGGCUUGGUUAAUCAUCUGGGGUUCUCCCCAGUGCACUUUUCCAGUUCAGGCCAGCAUCAGUUUUCGCCGGGGGAUAAAGACUUCGGGAAUGUGGCUCCUCUCGGGGAGUGUUAUAGCCCGUUGUGUAAUACCCUGGCGGGGACUGAGGUUCGCGCUCUG
This 1056-nucleotide ribosomal RNA is filed under the name Fusarium sporotrichioides. RNAcentral's name for it is "eukaryotic LSU rRNA". The stretch from base 465 to 1056 matches the Rfam family "Eukaryotic large subunit ribosomal RNA", at positions 1 to 604 of the family's 3401-position model. Lineage: Eukaryota; Fungi; Ascomycota; Sordariomycetes; Hypocreales; Nectriaceae. The record is from RNAcentral.